This 252-nucleotide ribosomal RNA is filed under the name uncultured bacterium. RNAcentral describes it as "partial 16S ribosomal RNA". It matches the Rfam family "Bacterial small subunit ribosomal RNA", at positions 525 to 776 of the family's 1533-position model. The record is from RNAcentral.
ACGUAGGAGGCUAGCGUUGUCCGGAUUCAUUGGGCGUAAAGGGAGCGCAGGUGGCUGAGUUAGUCCGUGGUGCAAUCUCCAGGCUCAACUUGGAGAGGUCUACGGAUACUGCUCGGCUUGAGGACGGUAGAGGAGCACGGAAUUCCUGGUGUAGUGGUGAAAUGCGUAGAUAUCAGGAGGAACACCCGUGGCGAAAGCGGUGCUCUGGGCCGAUCCUGACACUCAGGCUCGAAAGCGUGGGGAGCAAACCGG